This 205-nucleotide ribosomal RNA is filed under the name Acanthamoeba sp. RNAcentral describes it as "partial 18S ribosomal RNA". The stretch from base 1 to 156 matches the Rfam family "Eukaryotic small subunit ribosomal RNA", at positions 958 to 1115 of the family's 1831-position model. Lineage: Eukaryota; Discosea; Longamoebia; Acanthamoebidae. RNAcentral also lists the same sequence under 1 other name. The record is from RNAcentral.
CCAAGGAUGUUUUCAUUAAUCAAGAACGAAAGUUAGGGGAUCGAAGACGAUCAGAUACCGUCGUAGUCUUAACCAUAAACGAUGCCGACCAGCGAUUAGGAGACGUUGAAUACAAAACACCACCAUCGGUGCGGUCGUCCUUGGCGUCUCGGUCCUUCACGGGGCCGGGGCGCGGGGGUGGCUUAGCCCGGUGGCACCGGUGAAU